GGUCCAAUGGUCUAGUGGUAUGAUUGUCGCUUCGGGUGAACUGGGUUUCUAAUCCAAGGCCCCGCGUUCGAAUCGCGGUUGGACCC
Molecule: transfer RNA, 86 nt
Filed under: Baudoinia panamericana UAMH 10762
Lineage: Eukaryota; Fungi; Ascomycota; Dothideomycetes; Mycosphaerellales; Teratosphaeriaceae
Description: tRNA-Arg (TCT) (tRNA-Arg-TCT-2-1)
Rfam family: tRNA
About the family: Transfer RNA (tRNA) molecules are approximately 80 nucleotides in length. Their secondary structure includes four short double-helical elements and three loops (D, anti-codon, and T loops).
Source: RNAcentral